Long non-coding RNA from Entelurus aequoreus (snake pipefish), 1167 nucleotides. RefSeq lists it as uncharacterized. The record is from RefSeq and is a predicted model, not a curated record. The transcript is spliced from 5 exons. NCBI's taxonomy places the organism in Eukaryota, Metazoa, Chordata, Actinopteri, Syngnathiformes, Syngnathidae.
GCGGGUCUGCUAGCAAGGUGGAUGGCUUGUGCGGCCAAUUGCGUUUCGACAUUUGAGUGUCGUCUCAAACAGUCGUCAGCUGACACCAUUCAGCACUGUUGCCAGGAAAUAGAUGUCGUCCUGGCUGUACACUGAAGGCUGGCUCUUACUGGGGCUGCUGAAAUACUUGGCCAUCUGACCCGGGUUGUUCUGAUCCUCUUCAAAGUUCCGCCACUCAGCCAGCUGCGUGGAGCGCAGGGUGAAGAGCAGGAAGCAAAAGGCCAGCACGAUGCCGCAGGAGAGCAGCGUCCACACCACGGCGCUCAGCACAGGUGAGAGGGAGCGCCUCGGAGGAUCCGCGGUCAUCUGAGAAGACAGGAAGUUAUGAAGUCGCCAACAAGCAAGCGUUACAUCGACAUUGAAGGUUCUACUCUGCAUCUGACUGCUUUUUGGGUCACCAUAUUGCCCUGAGCAGCCAGGACGAGUGUUUUACUUUUCUACAUGAUGGUAAGUUCGAGGGCUGCGAAUCUUUGGGUGUCCCACGAUUCGAUUGAAUAUCGAUUCUUGGGGUCACGAUUCGAUUAUAAAUCGAUUUUUUUUUUCUAUUCACCGCAAUUCUCCAUUCAAAAACGAUAUUUUCCCGAUUCAAAAGGAUUCUCUAUUCAUUCAAUACAUAGGAUUUCAGCAGGAUCUACCCCAGUCUGCUGACAUGCAAGCAGAGUAGUAGAUUUUUGUAAAAAUCUUUUAUAAUUGUAAAGGACAAUGUUUUAUCAACUGAUUGCAAUAAUGUAAAUGUGUUUUAACUAUUAAAUGAACCAAUAAUAUGACUUAUUUUAUCUUUGUGAAAAUAUUGGACAGUGUGUUGUCAAGCUUAUGAGAUGCGAUGCAAGUGUAAGCCACUGUGACACUAUUGUUCAUUUUUAUUUAUUUUUAUAAAUGUCUAAUGAAAAUGUCAAUCAGGGAUUUUUAAUCACUGCUAUGUUGAAAUUGUUACUAAUAUUGAUACUGUUGUUGAUAAUAUUCAUUUUUGUUUCACUACUUUUGGAAUGUUCUGUGUCGUGUUUGUGUCUCCUCUCAAUUGCUCUGUUUAUUGCUGUUCUGAGUGUUGCUGGGUCGGGUUUGGUUUUGGAAUUGGAUUGCAUUGUUAUGGUAUUGCUGUGUAUUGUUUUGUUGGAUUGAUUAAUAAAU